This 546-nucleotide ribosomal RNA is filed under the name uncultured bacterium. RNAcentral describes it as "bacterial SSU rRNA". It matches the Rfam family "Bacterial small subunit ribosomal RNA", at positions 775 to 1319 of the family's 1533-position model. The record is from RNAcentral.
AGUAAAUAGAUACCCGGGUAGUCCACGCCGUAAACGAUGAAUACUAGGUGUAGGGGUUGUCAUGACCUCUGUGCCGCCGCUAAACGCAUUAAGUAUUCCGCCUGGGGAGUACGGUCGCAAGAUUAAAACUCAAAGGAAUUGACGGGGGCCCGCACAAGCAGCGGAGCAUGUGGUUUAAAUUCGAAGCAACGCGAAGAACCUUACCUAGACUUGACAUCUCCUGAAUUACUCUGUAAUGGAGGAAGCCCUUCGGGGCAGGAAGACAGGUGGUGCAUGGUUGUCGUCAGCUCGUGUCGUGAGAUGUUGGGUUAAGUCCCGCAACGAGCGCAACCCUUAUUGUUAGUUGCUACCAUUAAGUUGAGCACUCUAGCGAGACUGCCCGGGUUAACCGGGAGGAAGGUGGGGAUGACGUCAAAUCAUCAUGCCCCUUAUGUCUAGGGCUACACACGUGCUACAAUGGCUGGUACAGAGAGAUGCUAAACCGUGAGGUGGAGCCAAACUUUAAAACCAAGUCUCAGUUCGGAUUGUAGGCUGAAACUCGCCUAC